Molecule: ribosomal RNA, 253 nt
Filed under: uncultured bacterium
Lineage: Bacteria
Description: partial 16S ribosomal RNA
Rfam family: Bacterial small subunit ribosomal RNA
Source: RNAcentral
UACGUAGGGUGCAAGCGUUGUCCGGAAUUAUUGGGCGUAAAGAGCUCGUAGGCGGUUUGUCGCGUCUGCUGUGAAAACCCGAGGCUCAACCUCGGGCUUGCAGUGGGUACGGGCAGACUAGAGUGCGGUAGGGGAGAUUGGAAUUCCUGGUGUAGCGGUGGAAUGCGCAGAUAUCAGGAGGAACACCAAUGGCGAAGGCAGAUCUCUGGGCCGUAACUGACGCUGAGGAGCGAAAGCGUGGGGAGCGAACAGG